Neofelis nebulosa (Clouded leopard) is the source of this 1976-nucleotide long non-coding RNA. RefSeq lists it as uncharacterized. NCBI's taxonomy places the organism in Eukaryota, Metazoa, Chordata, Mammalia, Carnivora, Felidae. The record is from RefSeq and is a predicted model, not a curated record. The transcript has 3 exons.
UCUUGAGAGUACAAAGAAACAAAUCUUUAAAGGUACAAUUUAAAGCACUCACACAUUAGAGGAGUGCCUGGAUUGCUUAACUGGUUAAGCAUUCGACUCUUGGUUUCAGCGCAGGUCAUAAUCUCAUGGUUCAUGAGUUCAAGCCCCCAGUUGGGCUCUGUGCUGACAGUGCGGAGCCUGCUUGGGAUUCUCUCUCUCCUGCUCUCUCUGCCCCUGUCCUGCUCAUGCUUUCUCUCUCUGUCUCUCAAAAUAAAUAAAUAAACUUAAAGAAAGAUAAAGCACUCACACAUUAGAAAGAGAGAUAUUUAGGCAUUAACUGGGUACUGUCCGUCCCCAUUCAAGUAUUAUCAUGCAAAAACUAUCUGCUUUAUAAAACUGGUUCUAGGGAAGGCAUAAUACCUGGGACGUGAUUCUUCAGCUAGAUUGGACAAAGGAUGUUUGAACCUCAAAAUCAAGCCAUCUACCACACAAGUUUGUCAAGAUUCAGUUCUGAGAACAACCAACGGGUUAUUAUAGAAAUUUGCUCAUUACACAGGCUUUUUGGGGCACUGAACUGUGGUGACAGAAUCUGUUUUAGGCCUAAGGACACAGCAGGAAAUAAGACAGGCAAGAUCCCUUUCGUCUUAGAGCUUUCAUGAUAAUGGAGAAGACAGGUAAUAAAGUGAUUCCCUUCUGCUCUGCAAGAGAGCAUGCCGAAAGAUGAACCUUAAAACUGCAAACAAUUUGGCCACGUUGCCCAUCUACAAGGCUGCCCAGCUUCUCCUUCGUUCUAGGGGUUCAGGGUCUGUGAACUGACUCCGAUCUGGGAAUUAGGGAGCAGCUGUGGCUUCCGUGGCGAUCCCAGUUUGUUUGUUUCACUAUACUCGGGGUUGUGUUGGUAGUACACGUCAAGGGGAACCUUAACGUAUCGCUCAUCUAUUUCUGGCCUCGGGACCCACUGUCAGUUACCCCCGCAUUCCCAAGAUCUCUGUGAGUCAACCCGUUCUGAUGAUCACUCUGUCUUUGCUGCCUAUUAUAGUCACCGUUGCCUCUGGCCGGUUAAGUACCGCUAUUUGGUUUUUGCCAUCUUGGACAUCGCUACAUCCUCACGGAAAUCAUGGAGUCCACUCUUAAUGGCACAUCUCCUAUCUCCAUCCCUGCCUUGCAGAAGCCAGCCAACGAAACACCCCUCAAGGAUGGCGGUGCCCCUUCCGUCAGUGUAUUUCUGGGUAAAGGGCAUGGACUCUAGUCCUCUCGGGACAUAAUUAGGAGGCGGAUGAGCAGGUGACGUGAGUGAAAUCCAUGCCAACGUGCUUGUCCCCUACGUCUUUGCGUUACUUCUCCGUUAAACGAAAGAAACUCGCGAUCUCUAGUUCCGGCAUCACGGGUCAUGGUUGAGAUCAAGUUGCAGUGAGCCUACUGAACGAACGAGUCCCAGCUGCUCACACUAGCACAUCGAAUCCACAGACCAGCGCAUUCGGCUCUCUGUAAAAUUACAUUCCUCCUUCGCUGGACCAGCAUCCUCAGCAUGGAAAUACAGAUUUCCUGGAAUCUGGCUACUGGUUUCCUGGAAUCUUGCCAACGAAUUGUACUUGUAUCAAAACCAAACAGAGGAGGUGGCGGUCGGGACCCUUUGGUCCCUUCCGACGUGGGCAAGGAGAAGAAAAGUUCUUAUGAAAGGUGGAGAUGGGGCGCCUGGGUGGCUCGGUCGGUUGGGCCUCCGACUCCGGCUCAGGUCAUGAUCUUGUGGUCUGUGAGUUCGAGCCCCGCAUCGGGCUCUGUGCUGACAGCUUGGAGCCUGGAGCCUGCUUCGGAUUCUGUGUCUCCCUCUCUCUCUGCCUUCCACCGUUCACGCUCUCUCUCUCUCAAAAAUAAACAUUAAAAAAAGAAAGGUGGAGAGGAGCAGCAGACAUGUGAGAUGUUUUGUAAGCCCCCGCAGCACAGAGAGCAGCUCACAGUGGGUUAGCCUAGGGCCUAGAAGUGUCUCCUGACUUAAA